Molecule: non-coding RNA, 319 nt
Organism: Lonchura striata (white-rumped munia)
Lineage: Eukaryota; Metazoa; Chordata; Aves; Passeriformes; Estrildidae
Source: RefSeq, a predicted model, not a curated record
CCCGCCCCGAGCCGCCCGCCCCGAGCCGCCGGGCCGCUCUGUGCCUGCCGGCCAGGGGCAACGCCGUGGCGGCCAGGUGCAACUGGCACCAAGCUCCCAUUUUCUCCUGGCCUCAAAGCUGAGACUCUCGUCAGGAUUCCCUGAAUUAAACCCGCUUUUCAGUUUCUUAUAAAACAAUUCACGUUAUGUUAUUUGGACUCUGAGUCUGCUCCCGACACAGGCAGUGGGACUCCAGGGACCUGUCAGACUGGUUCCCCUGCAGUGCCCAGACUCAAGCCAACACUAUGUCUAUGCCAACACUGACAAUACCCAACUGAAG